RNAcentral lists this ribosomal RNA (440 nucleotides) under uncultured bacterium. RNAcentral's name for it is "partial 16S ribosomal RNA". It matches the Rfam family "Bacterial small subunit ribosomal RNA", at positions 338 to 795 of the family's 1533-position model. The record is from RNAcentral.
CCUACGGGUGGCAGCAGUGGGGAAUAUUGCACAAUGGGGGAAACCCUGAUGCAGCGACGCCGCGUGAGUGAAGAAGUAUCUCGGUACGUAAAGCUCUAUCAGCAGGGAAGACAAUGACGGUACCUGACUAAGAAGCCCCGGCUAACUACGUGCCAGCAGCCGCGGUAAUACGUAGGGGGCAAGCGUUAUCCGGAUUUACUGGGUGUAAAGGGAGUGUAGACGGCAGCACAAGUCUGGAGUGAAAUCCCGGGGCUUAACCCCGGAACUGCUUUGGAAACUGUGCGGCUGGAGUGAAGGAGGGGUAAGCGGAAUUCCUAGUGUAGCGGUGAAAUGCGUAGAUAUUAGGAGGAACAGCGGUGGCGAAGGCGGCUUACUGGACUGUAACUGACGUUGAGGCUCGAAAGCGUGGGGAGCAAACAGGAUUAGAUACCCCGGUAGUC